This 112-nucleotide ribosomal RNA is filed under the name Paenibacillus tuaregi. The record is from RNAcentral. Lineage: Bacteria; Bacillati; Bacillota; Bacilli; Caryophanales; Paenibacillaceae.
UGGUGGCGAUGGCGGAGGGGUUCCACGCGUACCCAUCCCGAACACGACCGUUAAGCCCUCCAGCGCCGAUGGUACUUGGACCGCAGGGUCCUGGGAGAGUAGGACGCCGCCA